AUGUCAUAUUUGAUUAAAAACCAGCACCUUCAACAAGCAUCAUCAAAAACAGCAGCAGUAUUUUGGCUACCUUGCUUCUACAUUAAGAGUCGAAACGGGCAUCAGACGAAGAGUGGGUCUAUAUGAUUAAACAAGGAAAUGUCAAAAAGAUUAAACGCGGAAAUACAUUGUUCUUCUACAAAACCUACGGACGCUGAAACAUCACAUUUUUGUAGACUCGAUAAUGCUAAUACCAACACCGAAGAGAGGCGUCAAUUUAAAGAGAGGCGUAAACUCCUAAAGCUACAGUUGGAUAAUCGUAGAUCGAAUAUGCUACGUAAUAUAACAAAUUCUAACAACAUAUCAUCAUCAAAUUCAACAACAUCACUAACGAAUGAUCUACAAAAUACACCAUCAUCAACACCAUUUACUGCCGAACAAAUUGUGCAAGAUCCAUAUAAAGGAGUAUCUAAAUGUAAAUAUCU
Molecule: long non-coding RNA, 464 nt
Filed under: Helianthus annuus (common sunflower)
Lineage: Eukaryota; Viridiplantae; Streptophyta; Magnoliopsida; Asterales; Asteraceae
Source: RNAcentral